This 1355-nucleotide ribosomal RNA is filed under the name uncultured bacterium. RNAcentral describes it as "bacterial SSU rRNA". It matches the Rfam family "Bacterial small subunit ribosomal RNA", at positions 28 to 1381 of the family's 1533-position model. The record is from RNAcentral.
GUUGAACGCUGGCGGCAGGCUUAACACAUGCAAGUCGAACGAUGACUCUCUAGCUUGCUAGAGAUGACUAGUGGCGGACGGGUGAGUAACAUUUAGGAAUCUGCCUAGUAGUGGGGGAUAGCUCGGGGAAACUCGAAUUAAUACCGCAUACGACCUACGGGUGAAAGGGGGCGCAAGCUCUUGCUAUUAGAUGAGCCUAAAUCAGAUUAGCUAGUUGGUGGGGUAAAGGCCCACCAAGGCGACGAUCUGUAACUGGUCUGAGAGGAUGAUCAGUCACACCGGAACUGAGACACGGUCCGGACUCCUACGGGAGGCAGCAGUGGGGAAUAUUGGACAAUGGGGGCAACCCUGAUCCAGCCAUGCCGCGUGUGUGAAGAAGGCCUUUUGGUUGUAAAGCACUUUAAGCAGGGAGGAGAGGCUAAUGGUUAAUACCCAUUAGAUUAGACGUUACCUGCAGAAUAAGCACCGGCUAACUCUGUGCCAGCAGCCGCGGUAAUACAGAGGGUGCGAGCGUUAAUCGGAAUUACUGGGCGUAAAGCGAGUGUAGGUGGCUCAUUAAGUCACAUGUGAAAUCCCCGGGCUUAACCUGGGAACUGCAUGUGAUACUGGUGGUGCUAGAAUAUGUGAGAGGGAAGUAGAAUUCCAGGUGUAGCGGUGAAAUGCGUAGAGAUCUGGAGGAAUACCGAUGGCGAAGGCAGCUUCCUGGCAUAAUAUUGACACUGAGAUUCGAAAGCGUGGGUAGCAAACAGGAUUAGAUACCCUGGUAGUCCACGCCGUAAACGAUGUCUACUAGCCGUUGGGGUCCUUGAGACUUUAGUGGCGCAGUUAACGCGAUAAGUAGACCGCCUGGGGAGUACGGCCGCAAGGUUAAAACUCAAAUGAAUUGACGGGGGCCCGCACAAGCGGUGGAGCAUGUGGUUUAAUUCGAUGCAACGCGAAGAACCUUACCUGGUCUUGACAUAGUGAGAAUCUCUCAGAGAUGAGAGAGUGCCUUCGGGAACUCACAUACAGGUGCUGCAUGGCUGUCGUCAGCUCGUGUCGUGAGAUGUUGGGUUAAGUCCCGCAACGAGCGCAACCCUUUUCCUUAUUUGCCAGCGGGUUAAGCCGGGAACUUUAAGGAUACUGCCAGUGACAAACUGGAGGAAGGCGGGGACGACGUCAAGUCAUCAUGGCCCUUACGACCAGGGCUACACACGUGCUACAAUGGUAGGUACAGAGGGUUGCUACACAGCGAUGUGAUGCUAAUCUCAAAAAGCCUAUCGUAGUCCGGAUUGGAGUCUGCAACUCGACUCCAUGAAGUCGGAAUCGCUAGUAAUCGCGGAUCAGAAUGCCGCGGUGAAUACGUUCCCGGGCCU